AGGUUAAGUUAAUAAGGGCGCACGGUGGAUGCCUUGGCACUAGAAGCCGAUGAAGGACGUGACUAACGACGAAAUGCUUUGGGGAGUUGUAAGUAAACAUUGAUCCAGAGAUGUCCGAAUGGGGGAACCCGGCAUGUGAAGCAUGUCACUCAUUACUGUUAAGGUAAUGAAGAGGAAGACGCAGUGAACUGAAACAUCUAAGUAGCUGCAGGAAGAGAAAGCAAACGCGAUUGCCUUAGUAGCGGCGAGCGAAACGGCAAGAGGGCAAACCGAUGUGUUUACACAUCGGGGUUGUAGGACUGCGUUGUGGGACGCAAGAUUAUAGAAGAAUUACCUGGGAAGGUAAGCCAAAGAGAGUAAUAGCCUCGUAAUCGAAAUAAUCUUAAACCCUAGCAGUAUCCUGAGUACGGCGAGACACGAGAAAUCUCGUCGGAAUCCGGGAGGACCAUCUCCCAACCCUAAAUACUCUCUAGUGACCGAUAGUGAACCAGUACCGUGAGGGAAAGGUGAAAAGCACCCCGGGAGGGGAGUGAAAUAGAACCUGAAACCGUGUGCCUACAACAAGUUCGAGCCCGUUAAUGGGUGAGAGCGUGCCUUUUGUAGAAUGAACCGGCGAGUUACGAUAUGAUGCGAGGUUAAGUUGAAGAGACGGAGCCGUAGGGAAACCGAGUCUUAAUAGGGCGCUUUAGUAUCAUGUCGUAGACCCGAAACCAUGUGACCUACCCAUGAGCAGGGUGAAGGUGAGGUAAAACUCACUGGAGGCCCGAACCAGGGCACGUUGAAAAGUGCUUGGAUGACUUGUGGGUAGCGGAGAAAUUCCAAACGAACUUGGAGAUAGCUGGUUCUCUCCGAAAUAGCUUUAGGGCUAGCGUCGAUGUUAAGUCUCUUGGAGGUAGAGCACUGUUUGAUUGAGGGGUCCAUCCCGGAUUACCAAUAUCAGAUAAACUCCGAAUGCCAAUGAGAUAUAAUCGGCAGUCAGACUGCGAGUGCUAAGAUCCGUAGUCGAAAGGGAAACAGCCCAGACCACCAGCUAAGGUCCCAAAAUAUAUGUUAAGUGGAAAAGGAUGUGGGGUUGCACAGACAACUAGGAUGUUAGCUUAGAAGCAGCUAUUCAUUCAAAGAGUGCGUAAUAGCUCACUAGUCGAGUGACCCUGCGCCGAAAAUGUACCGGGGCUAAAACAUAUUACCGAAGCUGUGGAUACCUAUUAUAGGUAUGGUAGGAGAGCGUUCUAUGUGUGAAGAAGGUGUACCGUGAGGAGCGCUGGAACGCAUAGAAGUGAGAAUGCCGGUAUGAGUAGCGAAAGACAGGUGAGAAUCCUGUCCACCGUAAGACUAAGGUUUCCAGGGGAAGGCUCGUCCGCCCUGGGUUAGUCGGGACCUAAGGAGAGACCGAAAGGUGUAUCCGAUGGCCAACAGGUUGAUAUUCCUGUACUAGAGUAUAUAGUGAAGGAGGGACGCAGUAGGCUAACUAAAGCGUGCGAUUGGAAGAGCACGUCUAAGCAGUGAGGUGUGAUAUGAGUCAAAUGCUUGUAUCUCUAACAUUGAGCUGUGAUGGGGAGCGAAGUUAAGUAGCGAAGUUAGUGAUGUCACACUGCCAAGAAAAGCUUCUAGCGUUAAUUAUACUCUACCCGUACCGCAAACCGACACAGGUAGUCGAGGCGAGUAGCCUCAGGUGAGCGAGAGAACUCUCGUUAAGGAACUCGGCAAAAUGGCCCCGUAACUUCGGGAGAAGGGGCGCUGGCUUUAAGUCAGCCGCAGUGAAUAGGCCCAAGCAACUGUUUAUCAAAAACACAGCUCUCUGCUAAAUCGUAAGAUGAUGUAUAGGGGGUGACGCCUGCCCGGUGCUGGAAGGUUAAGAGGAGCGCUUAGCGUAAGCGAAGGUGUGAAUUGAAGCCCCAGUAAACGGCGGCCGUAACUAUAACGGUCCUAAGGUAGCGAAAUUCCUUGUCGGGUAAGUUCCGACCCGCACGAAAGGCGUAAUGAUUUGGGCACUGUCUCAACGAGAGACUCGGUGAAAUUUUAGUACCUGUGAAGAUGCAGGUUACCCGCGACAGGACGGAAAGACCCCAUGGAGCUUUACUGCAGUUUGAUAUUGAGUAUCUGUACCACAUGUACAGGAUAGGUAGGAGCCUAUGAAAUCGGGACGCUAGUUUCGGUGGAGGCGUUGUUGGGAUACUACCCUUGUGUUAUGGCUACUCUAACCUAGAUAGGUGAUCCCUAUCGGAGACAGUGUCUGACGGGCAGUUUGACUGGGGCGGUCGCCUCCUAAAAGGUAACGGAGGCGCCCAAAGGUUCCCUCAGAAUGGUUGGAAAUCAUUCGCAGAGUGUAAAGGUAUAAGGGAGCUUGACUGCGAGAGCUACAACUCGAGCAGGGACGAAAGUCGGGCUUAGUGAUCCGGUGGUUCCGCAUGGAAGGGCCAUCGCUCAACGGAUAAAAGCUACCCUGGGGAUAACAGGCUUAUCUCCCCCAAGAGUUCACAUCGACGGGGAGGUUUGGCACCUCGAUGUCGGCUCGUCGCAUCCUGGGGCUGUAGUCGGUCCCAAGGGUUGGGCUGUUCGCCCAUUAAAGCGGCACGCGAGCUGGGUUCAGAACGUCGUGAGACAGUNNNNNNNNNNGAACGUCGUGAGACAGUUCGGUCCCUAUCCGUCGCGGGCGUAGGAAAUUUGAGAGGAUCUGCUCCUAGUACGAGAGGACCAGAGUGGACUUACCGCUGGUGUACCAGUUGUCUUGCCAAAGGCAUCGCUGGGUAGCUAUGUAGGGAAGGGAUAAACGCUGAAAGCAUCUAAGUGUGAAGCCCACCUCAAGAUGAGAUUUCCCAUGAUUUAAUAUCAGUAAGAGCCCUGAGAGAUGAUCAGGUAGAUAGGUUAGGAGUGGAAGUGUGGUGACACAUGUAGCGGACUAAUACUAAUAGCUCGAGGACUUAUCCAAA
Molecule: ribosomal RNA, 2930 nt
Filed under: Bacteroides sp. AF16-29
Lineage: Bacteria; Pseudomonadati; Bacteroidota; Bacteroidia; Bacteroidales; Bacteroidaceae
Description: bacterial LSU rRNA
Rfam family: Bacterial large subunit ribosomal RNA
Source: RNAcentral